Molecule: ribosomal RNA, 416 nt
Filed under: Limosilactobacillus gastricus
Lineage: Bacteria; Bacillati; Bacillota; Bacilli; Lactobacillales; Lactobacillaceae
Description: bacterial SSU rRNA
Rfam family: Bacterial small subunit ribosomal RNA
Source: RNAcentral
CGCAGCCUGAUGGAGCACACCGCGUGAGUGAAGAAGGGUUUCGGCUCGUAAAGCUCUGUUGUUGAAGAAGAACGUGCAUGAGAGUAACUGUUCAUGCAGUGACGGUAUUCAACCAGAAAGUCACGGCUAACUACGUGCCAGCAGCCGCGGUAAUACGUAGGUGGCAAGCGUUAUCCGGAUUUAUUGGGCGUAAAGAGAGUGCAGGCGGUUUCUUAAGUCUGAUGUGAAAGCCUUCGGCUCAACCGAAGAAGUGCAUCGGAAACUGGGAGACUUGAGUACAGAAGAGGGCAGUGGAACUCCAUGUGUAGCGGUGGAAUGCGUAGAUAUAUGGAAGAACACCAGUGGCGAAGGCGGCUGCCUGGUCUGUAACUGACGCUGAGACUCGAAAGCAUGGGUAGCGAACAGGAUUAGAUACC